UACAGAGGUCCCGAGCGUUGUUCGGAAUCACUGGGCUUAAAGGGCGCGUAGGCGGGGUCAUAAGUCUGUGGUGAAAUCCUCCGGCUCAACCGGAGAACUGCCUCGGAUACUGUGGCUCUCGAGGGUGGUAGGGGUAUGCGGAACUAUCGGUGGAGCGGUGAAAUGCGUUGAUAUCGAUAGGAACUCCGGUGGCGAAGGCGGCAUACUGGACCACUUCUGACGCUGAGGCGCGAAAGCCAGGGGAGCAAACGGG
RNAcentral lists this ribosomal RNA (253 nucleotides) under uncultured bacterium. RNAcentral's name for it is "partial 16S ribosomal RNA". It matches the Rfam family "Bacterial small subunit ribosomal RNA", at positions 524 to 776 of the family's 1533-position model. The record is from RNAcentral.